UACAGAGACUGCAAGCGUUACUCGGAUUCACUGGGCGUAAAGGGAGCGCAGGCGGACCGAUGUGUCGGAUGUAAAACCCCAGGGCUCAACCCUGGGACUGCGUCCGAAACUGUCGGUCUAGGGACUCGGAGGGGCUAGUGGAAUUCCUGGUGGAGCAGUGAAAUGCGUAGAUAUCAGGAGGAACACCAACGGCGAAGGCAGCUAGCUGGACGAGAUCCGACGCUCAGGCUCGAAAGUAUGGGGAGCAAAAAGG
This 253-nucleotide ribosomal RNA is filed under the name uncultured bacterium. RNAcentral's name for it is "partial 16S ribosomal RNA". It matches the Rfam family "Bacterial small subunit ribosomal RNA", at positions 524 to 776 of the family's 1533-position model. The record is from RNAcentral.